This 253-nucleotide unclassified non-coding RNA is filed under the name uncultured Rhodobacterales bacterium. RNAcentral describes it as "contains 16S-23S intergenic spacer region". It matches the Rfam family "Bacterial small subunit ribosomal RNA", at positions 524 to 776 of the family's 1533-position model. The record is from RNAcentral. Lineage: Bacteria; Pseudomonadati; Pseudomonadota; Alphaproteobacteria; Rhodobacterales.
UACGAAGGGGGCUAGCGUUGUUCGGAAUCACUGGGCGUAAAGGGUCCGUAGGCGGGCCUGUAAGUCGGGGGUGAAAUCCCGGGGCUCAACCCCGGAACUGCCUCCGAUACUGUGUGCCUUGAGGACGGGAGAGGUGAGUGGAAUUCCGAGUGUAGAGGUGAAAUUCGUAGAUAUUCGGAGGAACACCGGUGGCGAAGGCGGCUCACUGGCCCGAUCCUGACGCUGAGGCGCGAAAGCGUGGGGAGCAAACAGG